AUUGAACGCUGGCGGCAUGCCUUACACAUGCAAGUCGAACGGCAGCACGGAUGCUUGCACCUGGCGGCGAGUGGCGAACGGGUGAGUAAUACAUCGGAACGUACCUUAUCGUGGGGGAUAACGCAGCGAAAGCUGUGCUCAUACCGCAUACGCCCUGAGGGGGAAAGCGGGGGACCGUAAGGCCUCGCGCAAUUAGAGCGGCCGAUACCUGAUUAGCUAGUUGGUGAGGUAAAGGCUCACCAAGGCAACGAUCAGUAGCUGGUCUGAGAGGACGAUCAGCCACACUGGGACUGAGACACGGCCCAGACUCCUACGGGAGGCAGCAGUGGGGAAUUUUGGACAAUGGGGGCAACCCUGAUCCAGCAAUGCCGCGUGAGUGAAGAAGGCCUUCGGGUUGUAAAGCUCUUUUGUCAGGGAAGAAACAGCAGCUCUAACACAGUUUGCGAAUGACGGUACCUGAAGAAUAAGCACCGGCUAACUACGUGCCAGCAGCCGCCGUAA
RNAcentral lists this ribosomal RNA (501 nucleotides) under uncultured bacterium. Its description in RNAcentral is "partial 16S ribosomal RNA". It matches the Rfam family "Bacterial small subunit ribosomal RNA", at positions 30 to 523 of the family's 1533-position model. The record is from RNAcentral.